GGUCAUGCGUUUUCGCUUUCGAAACUCGAGUUUGCUGCUGCUUACCAUAGACUAAGAGGUGCUAAUGUGUUAUUGCCUUUUGCUUUUCUUUAGAUCUUACGUUUGAUUUUGCUGUUCUUCAGCUGUUAUGGAAGGCCUGCUCUAGAUUUUCUUUUUUUUUUACCUAAAUUUUGCUUUCUUGUUAAUUUUUUAUUGUCAUUUUUCUGUAUAAGAUAAGCUUGAUUUUGAUGGCUGCGAAUCCUAUUUUUUUGGUUGAUGAUUGAAGAAAGUUAAAAAAAAAAAAAUUUUUUUUUUGAAAAAUACAUAUCGAAGAAGGAUUCUAUGCUCUGAUGAAAGUAGUUCAAUUUUCAAGUUCUUUUUUGAAAGUCAGAUUUUCUUUUCAAGUUUUAUUUUCUAAUCUUAGUUGAGACAAGUUUUUUUUUUUUCUUUGCUGUUAUAUGAAUAAAAUAUAGUGCAUGAAAACAAUCCAUUUUUAGUUGGGUGAAAUUACCUUAAAUGGUGAAGAUUUAGCUUAUUAAUUGUAUUUUGGUAACUCCUUAAAUUUCUCCAAUGGUUGGUUGAGUUUAGAGCCCUGUUAGAUUUUUAGAUGUAUUUAUUAUAUCUAUUUACCAAACUUUGAUGAGUUUAUAUUUGAUGUGCCAUCAGUCUAUAAUUAAUUAAUUUGGGAAAUUACCAGCGUUUAUGUAUGGGGCUUCUAAAAAUGUUUUGGUGAUGUGGUUACUGGUGAAACAGAGAAUUACUUUUGAUUUUAUAUACGCUAUCAGAAUUAUGAUUUUUGAGCCUUUUCUUCCAUUGUUUUUAAUGUUGCUAUCAAAGAUAUCUUUCAUUGAGGUAAAAUUAUUUGCUGGCAUAUCUAACAUUGUGUAGUGUAGAUCACAUGGAAAAAUGGUGGAGGCAGUAGCGGUCCUUAGCAAAAGUGAAGGUGUUAGUGGAACUGUUUUCUUCUUUCAAGUGGGAGAUGGUAAAUCACAAGCCUGAUAAGACUUCUUGGUCUCUGUAUUUCUGUCUUUUAUGUCAAAGUUAUUUAAUCCUUUCUGCCCUUUUUAGGUCCAACUUCUGUGACUGGGAACUUCUGGUCCUAAGCCUUUGCUCCAUGGAUUCCAUGUUCAUGCCCUUGGGGACACAACAAAUGGUUGCAUGUCAACAGGUAAAAGUCUGAAAGUUGGAUUUGUUUUUCCUUUUUCUUUGAAGUUGGAAGGAAAUGAAAAAAAAAAGAAAAAGGAAUGACAGUAGGUUGGCUUUAUUGAUUUCUUUUGUCUUUGGAUGUAAUUGUUUUGGAGAUUUUUACCUUGUGAUUAAUCUCUUUGCAGGACCCCACUUUAAUCCUGCCGGCAAAGAGCAUGGUACCCCAGAAGAAGAGAAGUGCCAUACUGGUGAUCAAGGAAUAUCACUGUUGGUGAUGAUGGUAUGAAUAUUUGCCUUCUGGAAAUGACUAUAGGCUUUCUAGUUCAUUACUAACAGUUUCAGAAUAUUUAUAUUAGGUUUUCUUUUCUUUUCUCUUCUUUUUUGUUUCAACUUUUUUCAGUUGUAUGUUGUUUGGUGUUUUUGUUUCUUGUAUUGUUAACACUGUUAAUUUUAUUUGUGUGGUCCAGACUGUGAUAGUUUCUCUAUCAUUGACAAACAAGUUUUUGCUCAACUCCUUAUUCCUCUGCUUACAUUUGAUCAACUUAAGGCCAUUUCUGAAAGUUAUUGUUCCAUACUUUGGCAGAUUCCUCUCACUAGGCCAUACUCCAUUUAUUGGAAGAGCUGUUGUUGUCCAUGCAGAUCCUGAUGACCUUGGCAAGGGUAAUAGUUACAAAAUUUUGAGUCUGUUUAAGUUGUUUACUUCUUUUAUACUUAGUCUUGCCUAUGCUAGGAACACUACUUAGUAAGUGAUCGACUUCCUGAAUUGGUUCCCCUCCCAACAAUCUUAUCUUCCUGGCCUCCCAACAAUCUUAGCUUCCCGGCUGUGAGAGAAAAAUCAAAUUAAAAUAUUAAUACCCUUAUGGCUCAUGCUUUUGUCUAUGGAGAUUAGCCGAGCUAUGAAAUGGAAUGCUUAAUAAUAUACUCAAUAAGUAUUUGUAAUGCUUGUACUUAAGCUUACUUAAGUAUCCACCAAGAACUAUGAAAUGGAUUAAUGAUAUUAGGGCCACUAUAAAGUUUGAUCAUUUAUAAUUGUUACUUCAUUUUAGUUACCAAUUUAUAUAUUCAGCAGUAUAGGCAUUUCUUGUGCAUCAUAUGCAGGGUUUGUUGUAAAUAUGCUAGUUAUGAUCUAGGCAUUUAUGUAGAAAUGACAGUUAUACUUUUGAUUAAUAACAUAAUGUUGAUGCCUGUUUUAAAUGUCAUUGGGCAGGCCAAACCAGAGACUAUGGGUAAGGUAUGUGAUUUAGUAAGGAAACAACUAGCUAUAGCAAAUGACCAACCAGUCACUGGUGAAUCAAAUUUGCUGAUCUUGUAGCUGAUUCUCUUGAUAUGGUACACUCUGAAUGUUAGGUUUUUGUUCCUUUUGCCUUUUCAUCUCAUUUGGGUAAAACAAGCGUGCAUGAUCAAGGAGAGCAAGCAUUUGUUUGAGUUUGAUGAAUUUUUUCCUAUCUAUUUGUUUUAGAUGCCUAGGUCUAUGUAUUUAUUCUUGGGAUUAUCCCUUUUUCACAAACCAACCGUAAUUUUCUUUAUCAAGAUGGGCCAUGCCACUCUUCUAUCUUAGCUUUCCUGACAACUCUAGGUUUUGCGCAAAAGCAGCAUGUCCACUCUACAAUGUACUUUAAGGUUGUGCUUCUUCCUUUAAAGGACCAAGGUUGGUGGAGGGAACAUUAGUGGAGGGCACAACAUGGGGCAUUUCUGGGCCAAGCAUUUUGGCUAACAUAAUAAAGUUGUCCUUUUGGUUCUUCCUACAGCUUGAAGCCCUCUCUCCCCUCAACUUUUGAGUUCCCUUGUUGCUUGUUGGCUACUAACAUUGUUUUUGUUACUUCUUCGCCAACUCUAAACUCUCUCCCACUUUACCUUGCAUUGUUUUAAAUUCGGUGGAAUUCCUUUUCAGGUUAAGAUUGUGAUGGGACUUGAGGAAGAAUUUGGAAUCACUGUCGAAGAGGCCAAUGCCCAAAGCAUCACAGCGGUUCAGGAUGCUGCAGAUCUCGUGGAGAAGCUCAGCAGUGAGAAAGGUGCCUAGAAACAAUGGCCUAAAUCAGAAGUUCAUUUGCAGAUAUCGAUGUUACUUAACUGGCCUGCAAACUCUAGAGCAUUUGGCAAAAUCUUGUUGUGAACUCAAGUCCAUUUAUUUGUUCAAUCUAGGAAAACUCAAAGUAGUUGGGAUUUUUAGUUAAUUUGUGGAUUUAACUUUCCGUUGUGAGUCUACGAAAUACUAUUUGAUUUGAUUGUGUGGCUUUUUUAAAUUGGUGGUGACUCAUAGAACUUUUGUUUCCUUAAGCUGCACAUAUAGUUAUGAUGGGUAAUGUAGGUUUUAGCUGCGGGGUAGAGUCCCUGACAAAGGUUAUAUGCCCAAAUCAAAAGCUUAAAAUGACUUGGGGUUGAAUCUUAUUAAGAUAAUCCUGAAUGUUUAUUUUUUACAACAAAAUCAUGAUAACCAAUGUCAUUGAGACUUAACUAUCAUUUUGUAUAAUUCAAAAUCAUAUGUAUAAAAACAAAGUAAUUCAUUAAUCUCAAGGGUUCCAACAAGAGUGGCAGGCAAACAGAACACUGGAAUAAAUAGCUUAAGUAGAGUAUGCAAACAACAAAACAAACACAGGAGUUUAGGUGCAAGACAUCAACAAAUGUUACAAAUUAAACUUACAAUCCAUAACCAUCAAGCAUGACUUCGAAAUCUGAAGCAAAACAAAGUAAAAAGCUCACACAUAUUUUAGAAUUACAAUCCACAACUUGAAAUCUAAUGCAAACAAACAAGGUAAAAGCUUCCACGGCCUGCAAGCUUUGGCUGAUUCAUCCAUCAUGAGAUCUGCUGGCUGCUGCAUGCAACGGUUAAAAAUUGAAAUGAGUACUUAACAAAGAGAGCUGAUAAUUAAUUACUAAAUAAAUAGAACAUCAGAAAAAAACAAUAUAUAAAUGUUUCAUAUCCAAAUAUGUGUUUCAUAACAAAAUUAAAAUGAUUAGAAUUAUAUAGGUCCAUGAUAAAAAUUGCUACUCCAUAAAAAAAAGUAAAUAACAAAGAAAAAUUAUCUUGGUUGAAAAUGUUCUAAAGCUAAAGAAAUUUUGUAUUCUUAAUUUGUGUUCAAAUAUUACCAUUUUUGGCCCUUUUGUUUUAUAAUUUCACACAAUUCUAAAUGACAACGGUUGCAACCAAAUGCAAGUCUAAAAGAGUGAUAGAUUAUAUUUUUUAAAUACUCUACUUAAACAUUGAGUUUUGUUGGUGUAUGUAGAAAGAAAAAAGAAAUCUGGAAAAGAUUCGAAAGUUUUGGACGAAAUGUGUAAUAUACAUGUGUCAUCUUACUAACCCCGCUUACAAAGUUUAAAAUCUCAGCGGAUGGAGUAAUUUCUCUAAUUAUAAUAGUUAAAGUAGGUUGUUAUGGCACUAAAUAAAAGCUCACCUUCGUUAUUCUGUGUGGAAGCUAGCUCCAAAUUAUAUACCUGCAGUACUUGAAGCAAAAAAUUUUUCCAAUUAAAAGUAGUUAGCUUUAGAAGAUAUUAAAGGCAAAAAGAAGUUUUAUGUAACAACCUUAAUAACAUAGGACACUCUAAAUUCUUAUUGUCAACGUACAACAAGUUUUUAAAGAAAGAGAAGAAAAGGCCUCUGGUGAAGAUUGAAAGAAGCAAAACGAGAUAGAGAGAUAAGAGCAAAUAAAAUCUGAUAGAGAAUUUCAACAUUUACUACGUACCUCUAAUCAUCUAUGAUUUCAACCUCUUGGACAUGUGCAAUUUUGUGCCAAUCUGCACCCCCAUCUCGUCGGCAUCUUUCGCUCAAGACCGGACAUUCUUCAAUUUUUAGUUGUCUAAGUUCAGUGAGGCGAUCCAUUCCCUCCGGAAGAGAUAACAAUUUUGGGCAAUCACUGAUCUCAAGUUUACAAAGUGAAGUGAGAUUUUGUAGCCACGCUGGUAGUACCUCAAAGUUGUCACACUGGCGAAUAUCUAUAUGCUGCAAAGUGGUUGAAGAUCCUUCGAGAAGCAAUCGUGGCAAAUAUGUCAACGCAUCUGACCCCCAUACUGAGAAAGUUUUAAGGCUCAAGCAAAGGUCUUUGUCUUUUUCCUCUUCCGGUUCCAUUUGUAAAUUGAUUAUAUUGCAACCAACUAUACUAAGGACUUCUAAUUUGGUUAGGAAUUUCAGGCUUCGUGGCAAUGAGACAAGUUUAGAACAAUAAUUCAGAUUAAGUGUUUGAAGUGAUGUCAGGCUCUGCAUUCCUUCAAACAAACAUUCUAAAUUGUCACAGUGAGCCAAGCCUAAGUAUUGAAGAGAACUCCAACAUCCUGGUCUAAUUUCUUUCAAAUGCUUAGCUCCAAUAGUUAUUUCUAGAUAUCUAAGCUCAAUCAAGCUUUGCACGCUGUCAGGCAACUGCAUCAAAGGAACAUUCCACAUUGAUAACGUUAGCAAGCUCUGUAACUUAUAGAAAGAACUAGGAAGUUUCCUUAUUUUACGACAUCCAUCCAAGUUGAGGUAUCGUAAGUGCUUCAAGGUACCAAUGGAAUUUGGUAAGGCUUCCAAUGAUGAAUAAUUUAAUUUAAGUGCCCGUAGAUACUUGAAAUUUGAGACACAGAAACUGAUAAAGGUGUCAUCAAUAGUAUUUGGUCCCUCUGAAACCUUUAGUGCAAUUACCGUUCGAACAUUUUUUAAUUUCUUGAAAAUUUGCGGAACUACUAGCAGCUUCUCCUCACAAAAUGAUAAAUGCCGAAUUUUUUCGUCAACAUUUUCUGUUUGGUAAUUCACUGUUUUACACUCUUUUUGUGACACAUCUAAUGCAAGAUCAUGUAUCAAAUCAUGCAUUUUAAAUUCAAAACCAAUGAAGAAAUCACGAACCUUCUGAACGAGGCACCUUGACAGUAACUCAUUCAAAUAUCGCCUCCCAACAUCCUCCCACUCUUGCUUUUGCUUUGAAUACUCAAGCAGUCCAUUUGCCAUCCAAAAUUGGAUGACAUCAUCACUAUCAUAGCCAUGAUCCUUUGGGUACAAGGACAAAAAGGCAAAACAUCGUUGCAAAUGAGAUGGCAAAUGGUUGUAACUCAACUUCAACACUGGUAAAAUAUCAUUAUCACUUUGCUUAAGUCUCCAAAUUUCAUCAUCUCUAACAGAGAUCCAUUCGGAUUCAUCGGUUUUUGAAAAAAGCAAGCUCCCCAAUGUCCUCACUGCCAAUGGAACCCCUUUGCAUUUCUUUACAAUUUCUUCUCCUAUUCUCAUGAGAUUUGGAUGCUGUCCCUCAUCACCAUCAUUAAAUGCCCAUUUUGCAAACAAAGUCAAACAUUCUUCAUGAGGGAGACCAUUCAAUUCAUAAGGGUGAACUGAACUCAUUAUUGAGGCAACCUUCAAACUCCGAGUAGUCACAAUGAUUUUACUUUGAGCAAAGUCACCCAUUGACUUCAAUAAAUCUCUUAACUCAAUCCAUCUCCCACGAUCUUCAUUCCACACGUCAUCUAGAACGAGCAAAAACUUCUUAUCAGUCAAAAGACUUCGCAAACAAGUUUGCAACACCUCAACUGUUGAAUCAUCACAUUUUUCUCGUUUGGUGAUGGAGUGAAUAAUCAGCUUGAGCAAUCUAGCAAGGGUAAAUUCCUCAGAAACACAGACCCAUAUUUUCAAUGGGAAAAGUCUAGUAACCCGAUCGUCAUUGUAUACGAGUUGAGCGAGUGUGGUUUUCCCUAGACCCCCAAUUCCAACAAUGGGAAUGACAGGGAUGUCUCCAGCCUUACUUGGUUCCAUCAAACGGUUGACGAUUUUCUGUUUAUCCACAUCUCUACCAAUGACAUCAGAAGAAUUCACAAAAGAGUGAGUCUCCCUGUGAAUAACAUGUCGGUUAUCGCCACCCUGUCCUAGAUUAAAGCUCUUCCACCCAGUGUCAAGUUCGUCUAACCUCUGAUGGAUCUCUCUGAUUUUAUGAUCCACUUUUAAAGAGAAUGAAAGUGGGAAAGAGCAUGAAGCAAAAAAUCGUACCUUUGUGCUGAUGCCUGGAUGAUUUACGACCUGUUUCCGUAGAGCUUCACAGUGGAAUUCAUCAAGCACAUCUUCAGCAUCAUAAAAGAUGUCUCUGAGCUUCCACAAACAACGGCUCAACUUUUUAUUCUGGUGCUGCUGCCUCUCAGCAUCCAAAAGCACAUCUUUAAUGCGGCUCAUGGUGUCCUCGAGCUUUUUCAAAUCGCUUUUGACAUUAAACGCCAAACGAAGUUCUUCUACAGCGAGAUGGGCUAUUUUCUCCAGAACUCUUUCUGCAAUAUUGAAGAGAAAUGAUUCUGCCAUAAUUGAACUCUAGGAGCAGGGAAACGAAAAAGAAAGGCAAUGAAGCACUCAAAAAUUAAUUUGUUUUAAGCAAUAUAUCGAAGUUGCCUUGGAAAAAGAUAGAUGAGAUGCUUCUGGGGAGUGAAAAACCAGAAACUGGACAAGGAGAAAAGAAAAAGAAAGAAAGCAGUGUAGGUGGAGGCAAGACAGAAAAAUCGGACAAAGAAAAAUAGAUAGAUAAAGAAUAAGAAUAAAGUAUUAAGAAAACAGAAAAGAUGAGAAUAAACUGAGGGGCAUAUGUAGAAAAAAAAAAAGGGGAUCGAGAUUAAUGUAAGAGGGUAAAGGAAUAACGUUAAAAUAUAAAAAAAAAGUGGAGGUGAAACGAGAUUAAUGUAAGAGGGUAAAGGAAUAACGUUAAAAUAUAAAAAAAGAAUGAAUCACAUUGACAUUAACGUAAGAAAUUUUUUUAUUAAAGUAAUUUAAAUAAAUUAAUAUGUUGUUGAAAUAAAGCUGACGUAAAGCUUCAUGUGACAUUGACACGGUCGUCUUGAUACUGGAGCUUAUGGGAAUAAAGUAUUUAAAAAAGUAGAACAAAUUGAGGGGCAUAAGUAGAAAAAUAAAGGUUAGGGUGACUUGAGAUUAGUGCGAAAGGAUAAAAUAAUAAGGUUAAAAUGUUAAAAGAGAAUGAUAAUAAAGUAUUAAAAAAUAAAAAGAAUAAGAAUAAAAUGAGGCGCGUAGAAAAAAAAUUAAGGUGAAUCCAGAUCAGUGCAAUAGGGUAAAAGAAUAAAUUUAAAAUAUGAAAAAAAAAAGUAUUCAAAACAAUUUAAUAAAGCUUUUAUAUUAUUUUUAAAUAAUUUUUCAUUUUUUAUUAGUUAAGUUUUUAUAAUUAAAUUAAUUAUAUAUUAACAUAUUUUAAGACAUGUAGAUAAUUAUGUGAUAAAAAUAUGCACAACCAAAAAUGUAAAAAUAUAAAAAAAUUUCAUUAAAAAAAGUGGUUUGACAAAAUUUUUUUAAUUGGUAUCAUAAUUAAAAAAUAUUAAAAAAAUAAUACUAAUAUUUAAAAUUAAUAAAAAAUUUACUUUUAUGAUCUUAAUAUUUAUUGAAUGUUAGUUCAAAAUUGCAAAUGAUUGUCAUAUAUACAUGUAAAUAAAAUAUAUGUACAUUUAGUCAACUAACAUGUACAUUAGAGGUCGUAAAAGUAUUUUCAUUUUUUUGUUAAUUUUGCAUAUGGACAUCUUUUCAUUCAUUAUUUUUUAUUAUUGUAUCAAAUAAUAAAUAUUUUCAAUUUAUGUAUAGUUUUAAUAAAAAUAACAAAUUAUUAUUAUUUAUUAAUAAAAAGUAAUGUCUACAGAUAAAAUUAAAAAAUGAAAAUAUUUACAUUUAUAUAAAAAUGAAAAUAUCUAUAUUUAUAUAAAAAUUAAUAAAGAGCAAAUUAAAAUAAUUUUUUUAAUUUUCAUAUAAAUAUAUAUAAAUAUUUCCUUUUUAUUAAUUAUACAUACAUUAAUUCCUUUUCACUAAUUAUUUUUAUUACAGUAUCCAAUUAAUUAAUCAUUUUUUAAUUUUUAUAUUUAGAUAAAUAUUUUUCUCUUUUAUUUAUUUAAUAUAUAACCAUGUUCUUUUUAUUUAAUAAAUAAUAAGGUUAAACUUAAAUUAGAUUUAUUUUUUACUAAUUAUUUUUCGAUUAUUGAUGUUCAAAUAAUUAAUUAUUUUUAUUUAAUUUUAUAUAAAUCUAAUCAUUUUCCCUUUUUUAAUUUAAAAGUAUUAUAUUAUAUUUUUUGAAUAAUUAUUUUGUUAUUUCAUGGUGUCAGUUAAAUAAAAAAUUUUAUUUUAGGCUAUGAGUUUUUUAUAUUUUUAUUUUAACACACAUUUUACAUUUAUUUCUCGCAUUCAUUCUUUAUUAUUAAAAUAUAUAUAUCAUGUCAUAAUUUAAGAUUAAAAGUGCUUAAAUAGUGAAAAAUAAAAAUUAAGAAUUUUUUUAUAUGCAAUAAUAAUAUAAGAGUUUAGUUACAUUGUUUUGAAUAUUUUAAGGAAUUUUUAUAUUUUAGCCAAAGUAUAAGUAGAUAACGGGAAAAAAAUUAGAUCAGAAAAAGAAAAAUAAGCGAAAUGAAUUGCAAUAGCAGUUAGAUGAAAUCAAAAUUUGAAUAUUGGAAGAACAAAAUAAAGAAAAAGGAAGUUCAGUUUGGAACAGGAAGUCAUCUUUUUUAUUAUUAUUAUUAUUAUUAUUUUUGGUCUUUUUCUCUUUGUCUUUUGCGUUUAUCUUGUGCGAGUAUCAGUCGCUUCUAUUCUCCCAAAUUUUCACGUCCACAAAAAUCUGAGGGCAAGUUUGUAAAGACAUUAUUCCUCGGCUCUUGAUUUAUUAGUGGAGGGAUUAACUUUCUUCUUUUUUUUUUUAACAUAUAAUAGCUUAUUUCAAAUAAUCAAACAAAUUCUUCAAGUUGUAAUAGUAAAUUAUCAAAUUUAAAUUUCAAAAUUUUCAAAAAUUUGGACUGUUUAUUAAAUUUAUCAAGUUUGAUAUUGAUUUGAUUUCGAAUUACAUUUUAAAUAUGCAUUAGGUAUGAAGAUAUAAAUAAUAGAGUUUUUUAUUAAAUAAUUUUAAAUAAAAUUUAAAUUAUAACAGAUUGAACAAAAUUUUAAAAUUCAAUCACUUUUAUCAUUCCUAUUUAUAAAUUUAUAAUUGAAAUGGUACUAUCUACAAUAAUUACACAUCUACAAUUGUAAUAACCUUUUUCUGAGCAAAAGAUGCCUGAUUCAACCUCUUGUUUUAUAACUAUUGUCUUUUCUUUUUUUAAUAAAGUAAGCUAGUCUUUUCACGUUUUAGAAAAAAAAUUUACUUUUUUUAAUUAUUUUGAAAUUUAAAUUAAAAUCUCUAAUGGAGAUAUAAUGAUCAAAAAGAAAAUUAUAAAUUUAAUUUAGUUAAUUUAUAUAAUUUUUUAAGAUAUAAUUUUUAAUACAUUUAAAAAUUAAAUUUUAAUAUUUAUAAAUUUUUUAUUUAAAAUUGUAACUUCUUUCAUAAAAAAUAAAAAAAAAAAUUUAUGAGGGACAUGUUCUAUCUAUAAUCUAUCCAUGUAUGUUGAAUGUUUAUUGGCUUAAAAUUCAUUUGGAUAAAUAAUAAUUUUAAUUUUAGUAAGAUUAAAAGUAAUGAUUAAGGAAAAUUUUAUUAUUAUAAUAAUAAAAUUAAAAUUAAUGAUUAAAUAUGUAUUUUAAUGUAAAAAUAGUGAUGACGAUAAAAUGAAUUAUAAUAAAAAAUAAUUAUUAAAAAUGUUAACUAAAAAUUAUAUAUAAAUAAAAAUUUAAAUUAUUUAAUAUUUAUAAAUUUAAUAAGUAAUUAAAAUUUUUUAAAAAUAAAAUUUAGUUAUUAAUUAAUUUAUUAUGUAAUAAAUUUUAUUUUUAUAUUAAAUUAACAAAUUUGUUUAAUAGUUUUUAAAUAAAAUAAUCAAAAUAAAAAAAUUUAAAAGUUUUGAACUUAAAAGGAGAAAAAUGGAAAAAGCAAUAAAUAAGCUGCAGGCACUGCAAACCGAAGCCUCUCUCUCCAGUAAAAAAUUCAUACACAUCACAUCUGACUACAAUUCUAUUUAGAUUUAGAACUUAAAAAGCCGCUGUGGGCACUUCCGUUCAUUAUAAACAGACUCAAACUAAUAAUUCGAUGAUUCCAAACAACUCUUAUUGAAAUUCACGUAAACUUUUGUUGACAUAACAGCCAAUAAGACGGGAGAAAAAACAAAACAAUUUGUAUCUUACUUCUACCAACUUAUUGGGAUGAGAAAAUUAUUGGUACUCUAACAUGUGUUGUGUGUUUUACGACAAGAUAUUUGCAAACUUAUCUGAUUUUCUUUUCCACAUUAAAACAUGGCAAUGACUUUGUUAGACUGGCACGGUCAAUAUUAAUCAAAUUAUUUACCUAGUUAGUUUUUUUUAUUUAAAUGUAUUUAGAUAUAUAAAUUAAUAUUAUCUAAUUACUUAUAUGUUUAAUAUAUAUGUAAACUAUAAAUAAUGUAAUUAAAAUAUCAAAACAUAAUAAAAUUUUAAAACAUAUAACAAUAUUUAAGAAAAAAAUAAAAUAACCAAAAGAUUUAUAUACAAAUAAUAUUAUCGAGUAUAUCGAUAAAAUAUUAAAUUAAAAAUUAAAAAUUUUAUUAUUUUAAUUUUUUUAAUUUGUGCCAUUUUCAUCUAAUGCAAUCAUUUUUGUGCACUUGUAAAUUUAUAUAAUUUUAAGAUAAUUUUUAUUUAUUUAAAAAAUAAUGAUUUUGGAUAUUAAAAUUCUUAUAUUUGAUUUGGGGUAUCUAUUCAUAGAGAUAAUUUUAGAUUUUUAAUUACAUUCAAAGUUUCAGAAUUAAAAACCAAUGACUUCUUAUGAUAUUUUAAGAUUCAAAAAAAAAAAAACUUUUAUCUCACAUUUGACUUAAAUAAAAAAUUACUUUUGUCUAUUUUAUUCUUUUGAAAAUCAACAUAUGGUAAUGAAAUUAAAAAUUUUUUUACAUACAAUUAAAUUGAAAACAAAUAUCACAAAUAUUACGUUUAUUGGAAUAUUUAAGAUGCUAUUUGAAUUUUUUUUAAUAUCAAAUACAACAUUUAUAUGAAACCAAAUACAAUAAUAGUGAUUAUUUUUGUCUAAUUUUUUCAUUCAAACAUUAUGUUUAAUGGUUUUAAAACAUAAUAAUUGUAAUUAUUUAUUGUAUUUUUUGAACAAAUACGAAGUAUUUAACAAUUGGUUAAUUUUUUUACCUAUUUUCUAAUUAAUAUUGUAUUUUGUAGGUUGAAAAGUAAUAUUUAUUAUAAUUUAUUACAUUUUUUAAAAUAAAAAUAUAGUAUUUGAUAACUUAUAAAUUUAAAAAAAUUUUCUUAUAUAAUAAUUACAUUUUAUAGAUUUAAAAAUACAAUAUUUAUUAUCAUUUAUUACAUUUCUGCUUAACGGAAAGCAAUAUUUGAAAAAUGAGAGCAUAGAAUUAAAAGUAAGAAAUCCAAUUGAUAUUUGCAAACUUAUCUGAUUUUUUUUUCCACAUUAAAAAUAUGGCAAUGACUUUAUUAGAUUAGAUCGGUCAAUAUCAAUUAAAUUAUUUUUUUAUUUAUAUUUUAUUCGAGCAACAUGCCAAUUAAUUUUAUUUAUUUAAAUAUAUUUAAAUAUAUAAAAUUAAUAUUAUUUAAUCGCUUAUAAGUUUAAUAUAUAAAUUACAAAUAAUAUAAUUAAAAUAUAAUAAUAUAAUAAUUUUUAAUUUUUAAUUAAAAAUAAAAAAUUCCAAACAUAUAAUAAUAUUUAAGGAAAAAUAAAAUAUCUAAAAGAUUUAUAUAUAAAUAGAAUUAUUGAAUUCAUUAAAAAAUUUAAAUUAGAAAUUAAAGGUUUCAUCAUUUGAAUUUAUUUUUUGUUGAAGUAUCAUUUUUAUCUAGCGCAAUUAUUUGUAUACAUUUGUAAAUUUAUAUAAUUUUAAAAUAAAAUUUAUUUAUUUGAAAAAAAAAUUAAAAAUUUAAAUAAUAUUCGUGACAACUUAUUCAUAAUAUAUUUUUUACAUGAGUUUUAGUGCAUCUAUAGGAUUUGCUAACUUAAUUUUUAUACUUAUUUAAAACUUUGCAUUUGAUAUAAAUUUGAGUUAUUAUAAAAAUUGAAAUAAAAUAAUUUUAAAUUUUAAGUAAUAGAAUUAAAUUUUAAAUAAUUAUAUUAAAAAUAUGUUGUAAAAAUAUUUUAAUAAAAAUGUGUCCUUUCCCAUUCAUAUAAUUUUAUAAUCAAUUUCAAAGGUAAAAAUAUUUACUUCUUAUGUUUCACUUUUAGAAAAAAAUAAUACUAUUAUAAAAAAUUUUAAUAAAUAAAUAUGAUAUCAUUUUUAUAUAAAAUAAUUAUGUUAUAAUUAGUACCACAUUUUAGUCAUUUGCUUUUAUUUAUAAUUUUAAAAAAAAAAAAAAAAACGCAACAAAAUCAAUAAUUAAAAACAAGCCUUUACAAAUAUUUUAUGGAUAAAUAAACAAGACCAACAAAAAAUGUCUAAAUAAUUAAAUCAAUAUUUUCUAUUUCCAAUUUUGAAAAUACUUUAGAAGAAUCAUUAUUAUGUUGAACUGAUCUUCUUCAUCCACUCUAAGAUCCGUGAAUUGUUAAAAAAAAAUUUAUAAGAUCCAUAUAUACACUCUUAAAUAAAAAAACAUAUUCAAAGUUUUCAUAAAAAUUUUAAAAAUAAAAAAUGAUUGAUUUUAAAUUUUUAAUAUGGAUAUACACAGAUUAUAAAAAAAAUAUAAUAAAAAAAUGCAUAUCACAUAUUAAAAAUUAUAAAAAUAUAAUAAAAAAUUUAAUGCAUCUCACAAGUUAAAAUUUAUAAAAAAAUAAAAUUAAUAUUACAAAUAUCGUUAAAAAAUAAAUUAUAAUCUUCUAAUAUAUAUAAUAUUUGAGAAGAAAACUCUAAAAAUAAAAAUUAAAUUUUAAAUUUUAAAAUAACAUAUAUUUUAAUUAUUAAGAAAUCUACUUCAUUGAAGAGAAAUUCAUUUCGGAUGAAUUGAACUCAUUAUUUUGGCAGCCUUCAAACUUUCAAUGGUCGCAAUGAUUUUAAUUUUGAGAAGAGCCACCCAUUGACUUUAACAAAUUUCUUAACUCAAUCCAUCUUCUACAAUCUACAUCGUUAAAGGCGUGUGGUAAAAUAUUAUUUUUAAUUUUAUUGAUCAGAAUUUAAUUCUAAUAAUUUCACAUAAAAAUUAAAACAUUUAUUAUGCACUGAUCACCUUGUAGUACUAUUUAAAAGUCACAGAGACGGUACGAAACAGGUUUUAUGGAUUCAAUUGCUGCUCUCGACCCUUUUGUCCUUGGACUUGGCUUCCAUGAUGAUCAUCCCCCUUCCAUGAUAAUCGUUAUACUUGUCAAACAAUAUUUAAUGACCAUUUUAUUUUGAUAUAAAUUUUAGAAUUUUAAAUUUAUCUUUUAAUUAUUUUUAUUCUUUAUUUUCUCUCCCAUAUUUUUCAACAACAAAACUUAUUUGAUAAUAUGAGAUUUUCGACUAUUUCAGCAACUGAAAACCAUAGAAAUUAUAUCAAAAUCAAAUUCAACAAUAGGAAACAAAAUUAAAAAAAAGUAAAAUAAAAUAAAAUGUUGAAAUUAUUAUUAAAAUGUAAUUUUUAUAAAAAAAAUAUUUUCUAAUUAAUAUAAACGAUGUACUUAAAAGUUUUAAAAUAUAUUAGUUAAAGUUUUUUAAUAAAAAGGUAAAAUAAUACUUUGCACUCAUUCCUAAUAUAUUCUUUUACAUAUUUUUAACUAAUCAAACAUCUCUUUUUAAGAAAAAAAAAACUCAUAAAAUACUUUAAUACCAUCAUUCUUAUAUUAUAUUCCAUAAAUCAAACUAUAAAAUUUGCCAGCCGUAAUUGGGCUUUGGUUUCUCAGCCACUAGCCAGGAGAAAAAAGUCGUUGAAAUUGGGCCUUGUCCUUCUCUUAGCAGUUUGAGUUUCUUUAUUUAUUAAUUUAAAAUCAAUAAUUAUUAAAAACCUAAAAAACCUGUAAAAACAAACAAAAUGAAAAAUCUAGCCCAGUAAACUGUAACCGAAAAUGGCACUCAACGCAGUCUCCCUCUUUUCUCUUUAUCCUCUCUCAUUUCAACCCAUUUGCUUUGUUAACUUAAACUCAACGCAGUCUGCCUCCCUCCUCUAUAUCCUCUCUCAUUUCAACUCAUUUACUCUGUUACCGCCGCCACUCAGCCAAGAUUCUUCGAUCUCGAGAGCCCGCCCGUAGGAUCAACGCCAUCUUCCUCAAUAGACUGAGGCACUUACAUUUUCAAAGAUUUUUCCAUUCCUUUUUUUUCAUUUUCUUUUUGUUUCACUUUUUAUGAAUUGUUUUUUUUUUUUUUAAACAGUUUCCAUCAAUUUCAUGAGAUGGCAGAUGAGGGAGGCAAGAGCUAUGCAAGGAGAGAUAAGCUACUGGAAAUCGAGUCAAAGGUUAGAGUUUUGUGGGAAGAAAAAUAUGUGUUUAAGGCUGAGCCUUGUGAAAAACCUCCUCAACCAGGUGAAAAAUUCUUUGGGAACUUUCCUUUCCCGUAUAUGAAUGGUUUUUUACAUCUGGAUCAUGCGUUUUCGCUUUCGAAACUCGAGUUUGCUGCUGCUUACCAUAGACUAAGAGGUGCUAAUGUGUUAUUGCCUUUUGCUUUUCUCUAGAUCUUACGUUUGAUUUUGUUGUUCUUCAGCUGUUAUGGAAGGUCUGCUCUAGAUAUAUAUAUAUAUAUUACCUAGAUUUUGCUUUCUUCUUAAUUUUUUAUUAUCAUUUUUCUGUCUAAGAUAAGCUUGAUUUUGAUGGCUGUGAAUCCUAUUUUUUU
This 15618-nucleotide long non-coding RNA is filed under the name Durio zibethinus. RNAcentral's name for it is "long non-coding RNA (DZIB_LNC002290)". The record is from RNAcentral. Lineage: Eukaryota; Viridiplantae; Streptophyta; Magnoliopsida; Malvales; Malvaceae.